This 550-nucleotide ribosomal RNA is filed under the name Velutinodorcus carinulatus. RNAcentral's name for it is "partial 16S ribosomal RNA". It matches the Rfam family "Bacterial large subunit ribosomal RNA", at positions 1798 to 2619 of the family's 2925-position model. Lineage: Eukaryota; Metazoa; Arthropoda; Insecta; Coleoptera; Lucanidae. The record is from RNAcentral.
GCCUGUUUAUCAAAAACAUGGCCUUUUGUGAAUAAUUUAAGGUCAGGCCUGCCCAAUGAUUAAUUGAAUGGCCGCGGUACUCUGACCGUGCAAAGGUAGCAUAAUCAUUAGUUUUUUAAUUGAAAGCUGGAAUGAACGGUCUUACAAGAAAAUUUCUGUCUCAAUUAAAUGGUUCUUGAAUUUUAUUUUUUAGUUAAAAGGCUAAAAUGUGUUUAGGGGACGAGAAGACCCUAUAGAAUUUAAUAAGUUUUGCUUGAUUAUGUUUUUAGUUUAAUUAUUUUAGUUUGGUUUAGCUUAUUUUGUUGGGGUGAUUGGAAAAUUUGAUAAACUUUUCUUUUUAUAAAAUUACUAAUGUGUAUAUAGUUGAUCCGUUUUUAAUGAUUAAAAGAAUAAAUUACCUUAGGGAUAACAGCGUAAUUAGUUUGGAGAGUUCUUAUCGAUAAAUUAGUUUGCGACCUCGAUGUUGGAUUAAAAUUAACUUUUGGUGUAGGGGCUAAUAGGUUGAGUCUGUUCGACUUUUAAAAUUUUACAUGAUCUGAGUUCAGACCGG